RNAcentral lists this ribosomal RNA (520 nucleotides) under uncultured Archaeospora. RNAcentral's name for it is "SSU rRNA". It matches the Rfam family "Eukaryotic small subunit ribosomal RNA", at positions 569 to 1093 of the family's 1831-position model. Lineage: Eukaryota; Fungi; Glomeromycota; Glomeromycetes; Archaeosporales; Archaeosporaceae. The record is from RNAcentral.
AGCAGCCGCGGUAAUUCCAGCUCCAAUAGCGUAUAUUAAAGUUGUUGCAGUUAAAAAGCUCGUAGUUGAAUUUUGGAUUCUGCCAGUUGGUCCAUCUUUUGAUGAGUACUGAUUGUGUGGGGUCUAUCCGCCUGGGGAAACGUAAUGUACUUUAUUGUAUGUUGCGGAUAGCCAGGACCUUUACCUUGAAAAAAUUAGAGUGUUUAAAGCAGGCUUAUGCCGGAAUACAUUAGCAUGGAAUAAUAGAAUAGGACGAUGUUGUUUAUUUUGUUGGUUUCUAGGACAACCGUAAUGAUUAAUAGGGAUAGUUGGGGGCAUUAGUAUUCAAUUGUCAGAGGUGAAAUUCUUGGAUUUAUUGAAGACUAACUACUGCGAAAGCAUUUGCCAAGGAUGUUUUCAUUAAUCAAGAACGAAAGUUAGGGGAUCGAAGACGAUCAGAUACCGUCGUAGUCUUAACCAUAAACUAUGCCGACUAGGGUUCGGGCGAUGUUGUUUCCAUGACUCGCUCGGCACCUUAUGG